UGUAUAAUGGGUCAGCGACUUAUAUUCUGUAGCAAGGUUAACCGAAUAGGGGAGCCGAAGGGAAACCGAGUCUUAACUGGGCGUUAAGUUGCAGGGUAUAGACCCGAAACCCGGUGAUCUAGCCAUGGGCAGGUUGAAGGUUGGGUAACACUAACUGGAGGACCGAACCGACUAAUGUUGAAAAAUUAGCGGAUGACUUGUGGCUGGGGGUGAAAGGCCAAUCAAACCGGGAGAUAGCUGGUUCUCCCCGAAAGCUAUUUAGGUAGCGCCUCGUGAAUUCAUCUCCGGGGGUAGAGCACUGUUUCGGCAAGGGGGUCAUCCCGACUUACCAACCCGAUGCAAACUGCGAAUACCGGAGAAUGUUAUCACGGGAGACACACGGCGGGUGCUAACGUCCGUCGUGAAGAGGGAAACAACCCAGACCGCCAGCUAAGGUCCCAAAGUCAUGGUUAAGUGGGAAACGAUGUGGGAAGGCCCAGACAGCCAGGAUGUUGGCUUAGAAGCAGCCAUCAUUUAAAGAAAGCGUAAUAGCUCACUGGUCGAGUCGGCCUGCGCGGAAGAUGUAACGGGGCUAAACCAUGCACCGAAGCUGCGGCAGCGACGCUUAUGCGUUGUUGGGUAGGGGAGCGUUCUGUAAGCCUGUGAAGGUGUACUGUGAGGUAUGCUGGAGGUAUCAGAAGUGCGAAUGCUGACAUAAGUAACGAUAAAGCGGGUGAAAAGCCCGCUCGCCGGAAGACCAAGGGUUCCUGUCCAACGUUAAUCGGGGCAGGGUGAGUCGACCCCUAAGGCGAGGCCGAAAGGCGUAGUCGAUGGGAAACAGGUUAAUAUUCCUGUACUUGGUGUUACUGCGAAGGGGGGACGGAGAAGGCUAUGUUGGCCGGGCGACGGUUGUCCCGGUUUAAGCGUGUAGGCUGGUUUUCCAGGCAAAUCCGGAAAAUCAAGGCUGAGGCGUGAUGACGAGGCACUACGGUGCUGAAGCAACAAAUGCCCUGCUUCCAGGAAAAGCCUCUAAGCAUCAGGUAACAUCAAAUCGUACCCCAAACCGACACAGGUGGUCAGGUAGAGAAUACCAAGGCGCUUGAGAGAACUCGGGUGAAGGAACUAGGCAAAAUGGUGCCGUAACUUCGGGAGAAGGCACGCUGAUAUGUAGGUGAAGCGACUUGCUCGUGGAGCUGAAAUCAGUCGAAGAUACCAGCUGGCUGCAACUGUUUAUUAAAAACACAGCACUGUGCAAACACGAAAGUGGACGUAUACGGUGUGACGCCUGCCCGGUGCCGGAAGGUUAAUUGAUGGGGUUAGCGGUAACGCGAAGCUCUUGAUCGAAGCCCCGGUAAACGGCGGCCGUAACUAUAACGGUCCUAAGGUAGCGAAAUUCCUUGUCGGGUAAGUUCCGACCUGCACGAAUGGCGUAAUGAUGGCCAGGCUGUCUCCACCCGAGACUCAGUGAAAUUGAACUCGCUGUGAAGAUGCAGUGUACCCGCGGCAAGACGGAAAGACCCCGUGAACCUUUACUAUAGCUUGACACUGAACAUUGAGCCUUGAUGUGUAGGAUAGGUGGGAGGCUUUGAAGUGUGGACGCCAGUCUGCAUGGAGCCGGCCUUGAAAUACCACCCUUUAAUGUUUGAUGUUCUAACGUUGGCCCCUGAUCGGGGUUGCGGACAGUGUCUGGUGGGUAGUUUGACUGGGGCGGUCUCCUCCUAAAGAGUAACGGAGGAGCACGAAGGUUGGCUAAUCCUGGUCGGACAUCAGGAGGUUAGUGCAAUGGCAUAAGCCAGCUUGACUGCGAGCGUGACGGCGCGAGCAGGUGCGAAAGCAGGUCAUAGUGAUCCGGUGGUUCUGAAUGGAAGGGCCAUCGCUCAACGGAUAAAAGGUACUCCGGGGAUAACAGGCUGAUACCGCCCAAGAGUUCAUAUCGACGGCGGUGUUUGGCACCUCGAUGUCGGCUCAUCACAUCCUGGGGCUGAAGUAGGUCCCAAGGGUAUGGCUGUUCGCCAUUUAAAGUGGUACGCGAGCUGGGUUUAGAACGUCGUGAGACAGUUCGGUCCCUAUCUGCCGUGGGCGCUGGAGAACUGAGGGGGGCUGCUCCUAGUACGAGAGGACCGGAGUGGACGCAUCACUGGUGUUCGGGUUGUCAUGCCAAUGGCACUGCCCGGUAGCUAAAUGCGGAAGAGAUAAGUGCUGAAAGCAUCUAAGCACGAAACUUGCCCCGAGAUGAGUUCUCCCUGAGACUUUAAGUCUCCUGAAGGAAC
RNAcentral lists this ribosomal RNA (2249 nucleotides) under Escherichia coli. Its description in RNAcentral is "partial 23S ribosomal RNA". It matches the Rfam family "Bacterial large subunit ribosomal RNA", at positions 609 to 2836 of the family's 2925-position model. The record is from RNAcentral. Lineage: Bacteria; Pseudomonadati; Pseudomonadota; Gammaproteobacteria; Enterobacterales; Enterobacteriaceae.